RNAcentral lists this unclassified non-coding RNA (204 nucleotides) under Hevea brasiliensis (rubber tree). The record is from RNAcentral. Lineage: Eukaryota; Viridiplantae; Streptophyta; Magnoliopsida; Malpighiales; Euphorbiaceae.
GAUCAAGUAGGCCUCAUGGACUGGUGAGCUCCCAAUUUUACUUGAUUUAACUUCCGUUUGGUUCUCUAGAAAAAUCGCAGAAAAUAGUAAAGAAAACUUUCGCAUAUGGCACCUGUAUCGAGUUACGUAACUUCGAUUUCUAUACCUUCUCUGGAAUUCGCUGAAUCCUAACGGAGCUCGUUGCCUUUGUUCUAUUAUUGAACU